AGCUCCCGGCAAUGGCCAGAGACACCUUGGUGGUGGUGGUGUUCUAUCAGCCAGGGGCAUAGCAGAUGGCAAUCCUUUGUUCAUCCUAGCUUGAUGCCUGGCUUGGUGGCCAAAGCCAUUUCAUGCUUAGGGCACGUUA
Small nucleolar RNA from Peromyscus leucopus (white-footed mouse), 139 nucleotides. RefSeq annotates it as small nucleolar RNA SNORA48. The transcript has a single exon. The record is from RefSeq and is a predicted model, not a curated record. NCBI's taxonomy places the organism in Eukaryota, Metazoa, Chordata, Mammalia, Rodentia, Cricetidae.